AGAGAGCAUUAUCGAAAAAAGAAUAUUGGUAUUAUCAUUCGAGAAGAAUCUGAAUUGAAGAUGAUGCGUAAGGCAAGAUAAGAUUACUUUUUCUUUUCUUAAGCUCAUACUUUAUUUUCCAAGACAAAACAUCUUAUAUUUGUACGCUGUCAGGAAAAUCAAAGAAAACAUCGAGCAAAGGAAAAAGGGAAGGAGUUACAAAAAGGAAAAGGAAAAGAAAAAGAAAAUCAACCCCCCAAUUUGCAUGUGGUAAGUAUACAAUAUUCCAGACUUUUACGUUAGUAGUUACAAAUAUUUGUUACACAAAGUCAUUUAAACAAAAUAUUUGAACCUAAUUUAUUAACGACACCGGUACUAGACUUAUCAUAGUCAAGUGUGGUGCUUUAGUACUUGAAGCAAAGAUGCUUUAGUACUUGAAGCAAAGAUGAUAAUUUAUUAACGACACUAUGCCUUUUUAGGUUUAUAAUUAUACAUCUUUUUAGGGUUUCAAUAAUAAUAUUAUUGACGAAAGCAAUAAACAUAUUGCAUAGCGCUUUCGUGUGAAAUACAAAACCAAGCAAACUGAAUAUAUGCACCCUAAUCCGAAUAAAUAUAAAACAUUAUUUUCUGCUCAAAUAAACACUACGACUUCUUCUCUUUACACUUAGAUAUCUAUUGUUAUUUGUAGGGAUCCAAUAAAAAUAUCCUUGACGAAGCUCCAAUUCCUCGAUGUAAAAGACGAGAAAGGGAUAGUGGUGAUGUGCGUCCAAUACAUAUUGCUCAGCGCUUGCGUUGUGAAAGAGAGAAGCAAGUAAAAAUAAUACAAUCUCAACAAUAUCCAUGUCAACAAAGAUUUUUCCCUGGUUUGAUCCCCAGGCCAUCCAACCGCGCAGCUUAUGAACGGGAUUGUAUCGCGAUCAAGAAUCAUUUUUAUCAGCGAUCAUCGUUGUUAAAACCUGCGCCAUCGGAUUCUAAUCGAAUUCCUCCAGUUCUGAUUUUACCACCUCAAGGGUUAUAUUCAACUAACUCAAAUUCAAUGGGUGCAGAAAUCCUCCUUCCACCAAAUAAUAUAGAGCAUGUACAUGACUCCCGUACCAUUAUAUCAUCUUCCAUGCCUACAUCACCAACUUUUGGGUUAGUUCAAUGCAAAUUAUUUCUAACUAUAUACCAUAAGGAGUGUUACGAUAUAUGUGAACUAUUUGAAACAAGUUCAUUUAUUUUUUAGGUUAUUACCAAUUAUUCAGUCAACCCUUGAUGAAGCUUGCGUACAAGAGGAGGCAUUGCCUACAACUAUAGCCCCUCUGCCGAUCCUAUUUUAGGAAGACACUACCUCAAUAAAAUGAAUAUACAGUGUCCUCACUGCUCAGCAUUGCAUUGGAAAGCCGAAAAGUUAACAAAUUCAUCUGUUGACCGCCCUUUCUUUGGAACAUGUUGUUUGCAAGGAAAGAUUCGACUUCCCCAACUAUUAACUCCUCCUCCGAAAAUUCAAUCAUUAUAUGAUGGCAAUGAUGAUCAGUCAAAGUCCUUUCGAAGUUAUACCUGACUGUACAAUGCGUCUAAUGCUUUUAUGAGCUUAGGUGUACAUAUGGAUGAUAGAGUGGUUCCUGGUAGGGGUCCCAACGCAUUUACAAUCCAUGGGGAAUUGCGACAUCGGACAGGGUUACUACAACCUCCAGCCGGUCAAGAUCCAGUAUAUGCACAGUUGUACAUUCACGAUGCCGCAGUUGCUUUAGAAUAUCGUUCUCGAAGAAACCCGAAUCUGCGAGAGGAUGUCCUAAGAACAAUCCAGGAUAGUCUUUUGAGAUACAACUCAUUUUCGGGUAAGUUUAGACAUGCAGCUGCAAUUUUAAGCAGGGAAGAUUUGAACAAUCACGACAUCCCAGCAUACCUUCAUUAUAGUGCAGCAAAAGACCGUCGAACUCAUAAUUUACCCACGUCAGAGGAGGUUGCUGUCAUAUUACCUGGAGAUGGUGCUGAAUUCUCUGCGAUGAGGGAUAUUAUUGUACGGUUAAGAGGGAGUGACCAGUUGAUGCAGAUAAAUGAAUGUCAUCCAGCUUAUUUACCACUACAUUACGUAUUGUUGUUUCCGUAUGGUGAGCUUGGAUGGGAACCAGAUUUUAAGCAGUGGGAUGUCAAUCAAGGUAAAGCUUCAUCAAAAAGACUUACGCAAUUGCAAUAUUAUGGGUAUCGUUUGUUUGAAAGACCUACUGAGUAUUCAACUAUCUUGAGGGGUGGAAGAUUAUUUCAAGAGUUUAUUGUAGAUGCAUGGGCGGCAACAGAGCAGAAUCGAUUAACAUAUUAUAGGCUCAACCAACAAAAAUUACGAUCUGAUCUAUACCAAGAUCUGGUCGAGGUAGUUCCUGAUGGGUUAGAGGCUAAUCAAGUUGGUAAACGAGUAGUUUUGCCUUCUUCUUUUUCUGGGAGUCCAAGGCAAAUGUUUGAAAUCUUCCAAGAUUCUAUGGCCAUAACUCGGUAUAACCAACACCCUGAUAUUUUCUUAACUAUGACUGCAAAUCCGAAUUGGCCCGAGAUAAAAGAUGCACUGUUACCACAUCAAACGUCAAUUGACCGCCCAGACUUGGUGGCCCGCGUAUUUGAAUUGAAGCGACGAGCUUUGAUGAUGGAAAUUGAUAAGAAGAAAGUAUUUGGUGCAAAGGUGGCACAUGUUUUCACGAUUGAAUUCCAAAAGCGUGGGUUGCCGCACAUGCAUUUGCUAAUAUUUCUUCAAGGGUCUGAUAAAAUACGAACACGUGAACAGGUAAAUCGAGCUGUGUGUGCCGAAUUCCCCGAUCCAAUUUCUGAUCCACUUCUAUAUGAAACAGUUAAAACUUGCAUGGUACAUGGACCAUGUGGUGUUCGAAAUCUUAAAUCACCAUGUAUGGAAGAUGGUAAAUGCACUAAGAGAUAUCCUAAAUAUUGGGCAGAAGAAACUACAAUGGGCGAAGAUGGGUAUCCGAUAUAUCAAAGGCGCAAUGACGGUCGAAAACAUUGUCUAAGGUCUGGACAUGAAGUUGAUAAUAGAGAUGUUGUACCAUAUAAUCCAUACCUCUCUAGAUUGUUUAGUUGCCAUAUAAAUGUGGAAGUUUGUGCAGGAGUAAGGUGCGUAAAGUAUAUCAAUAAAUACAUCUACAAGGGUUACGAUCGCACAACUUUGGUAUUGGGGGCCGUAGAUGAGAUUAAGCAGUAUAUUGACUCGAGGUACAUUGGGCCUACAGAGGCGGCAUGGCGGAUAUUUGGAUAUCCUAUGCAUCAAGAGUUCCCUCCAGUUAUACGUCUGGUAGUUCACCUAGAGGGAAAACAUCACGUCUGCUAUAACCCGUCUGAACCAAUAGCUGCAAUAUUGAACAGAGCAGAGGAUCAGCAGACAACUCUAACAGGAUUUUUUGCAUGCUGCUCUACUAAUGAUUUAGCUCGAACUCUCACAUACCAACAAUUUCCAAAGCAUUUCGUUUGGCAAAAGAAAGAACAGCUCUCGACAGAGAGACAAAUGGGUUUUGCAAUCGGAAGAAUGUAUUUUGCCAGUCCAAAUGAAGGUGAACGGUUUUAUCUGCGUUUUCUGUUGAUGGUUGUAGAGGGACCUCAAUCUUUUCAAUGUUUAAGAAAAGUUGAUAAUGUUGUACACCCCACAUAUAAGGCAGCAUGUAUUGCAAAAAGGCCUUUUGGAAGACGAUGAAGAGUGGAUUCAAUGUCUUAGAGAAACAUAAAUAAUGAGAACAGGCUCUCAAUUAAGAAGGUUGUUUUCUAUUAUCUUGACACAAUGCUCUCCUUUAAAUCCAGAAGCGUUGUGGAACCAAUUUUCUAUGCAUAUUUGUGAUGAUUUAUCACACAAAAUAAGUACAUGUUAUGGCAUUGAUGUUCCUACAAUGCUCAAAUUUGUGAUUAUGGUUUAUACCUUAUUAAUCUUUUGCUUUAGGAGUCGGGUAAGAACUUAUCAGAUUACCCACCAAUGCCACUGCCAAAUGCUAAUUGGAGAAUUAUCGUUGGCAAUCGACUUAUAUGGGAACAUAGGCAGUUAUAACUUGAAGUUGAUCAAAUAAAUGUCCAGCAAAACAUUGAUCUACUGAAUGAAGGUCAGCGUAUGGCUUAUAAUGCAAUCAUUUCAUCUGUUUAUGAAAAUAGAGGAACAACCUUCUUUCUGAGUGGGGGUGCAGGAACUGGAAAGACUUUUCUCUACAAUACAAUUGUCAAAAAAUGUCGUUCCUUAUGCGAUAUAGUAAUUACAGUAGCAUCCUCUGGAAUUGCUUCUGGGUUGUUACAUGGGGGACGUACUGCACAUUCAACAUUCUGCAUUCCACUUAACGUAUUAGAAAAUUCAGUUUGUGGAUUCACGAAGCAAUCAUCACACUCGGAAUUAUUUCAGAAGGCUAGACUAAUUAUAUGGGAUGAGGUUCCAAUGCAGCAUCGUCAUUGUGUUGAAACAGUUAAUCAGACUUUACAAGACAUUCGUGAUAACUCCCAACCAUUUGGAGGUGUUACUGUUGUUCUUGGGGGAGAUUUUAGGCAGAUUCUUCCUGUUAUACCUAGAGGUCUUCGUGAGCAUAUAGUGGCAGCAUCACUACGACGUUCUUUGCUUUGGAAAGAUAUACAUGUCUUGGCAUUACAAGUUAACAUGCGCUUGCACGAUGACCAAUCAUUAUUAUUUGAUUUCUCGGCUUUUCUUAAUGAGGUUUGAGUAUUUGUAUCUUUAUUCAUAUUGACAUCUAUAUAUUGUCGAUAAUAUUUGAUAAUUUACUAAUACUUCAUUAUUGUGUAGAUUGGGUCUAACCCUCAAGAAUCUAUACAACUUCCAGAUUCAAUAAAAAUAACUCAAAGUGUGGAUAAUCUUAUCUCGACCAUCUACCCAGAGCUAGAAGUGCCAAGUAAAGUCACUCCUGAAUUCUUAAAAGAGCGCACAAUUCUAUCUGCUAGAAAUGAUGAUGUCAAUGAUAUCAACCUAGCUGCGUUGGCGGUUUUCCCGGGAGAAGUACAUACAUACUUUGUUGCUGACAAAAUGGUUGAAGAUGAUGAUGUGGAUCAGACUAUUAUGCAUCGGUACCCGAAUGAAUAUUUGAACACACUCAAUCCCCCUGGACUACCACCGUUCAAAUUAGAUUUAAAAGAGGGUUGUCCAAUAAUGCUUCUAAGGAACAUUGCACCGAAAGAUGGCCUUUGUAAUGGUACUAGACUUAUCAUAGUCAAGUGUGGUGCUUUAGUACUUGAAGCAAAGAUUUUAAAUGGUGAUAAACAUGGCGACUUGGUAUUCAUUCCACGAAUUUCUUUGACUCCUUCUUCGUCUGAGUUGAGUAUUAAAAUGACAAGAAGACAAUUCCCAGUGAGGUUAGCGUAUGCAAUGACAAUGAAUAAAUCACAGGGCCAGUCUGUCAAAUUUGUUGGAGUAGAUUUACGUACGCCAGUAUUUAGUCAUGGUCAACUAUAUGUAGCUCUGUCAAGAUGCACAAGUUCUUCCCACUUAUGCAUACUUCUUCGUGAAUUAACUGACAAGUCCACAACAAAUAUCGUCUAUCCUGAAGUUUUGCUAUAAUUUUAUAUGUUUGAGGUAUCAUUUCUUAUCUCCGUGCAUUAUUGAUCUUCUUCCGAUAAAAGUCUUGAUAUGUUUUGAAUUGACUAAUAAAAGUUUUGAAUUAACUCACAAGGCCACAACAAAUAUUGUCUUUAUAUAUGUGUUAAUUGUUGAAUAGUUGAAUAUUUGCUAACAACUAAAAAUGAGACUGAUGCUUGAAUAAGUUGUGGCAUCGUUGUAGUUGUGGCAUAUGCUAGCAAGACUCCUGAUGGGUAUAUGUGAGUCCUACAGUCAUGUGAAAUUGAACUUUCUAGGACUAAUAAGUUUUCCUAUAGAAAUAGCAAGCCCCAUAAAUUAUUGUAGGGUGUAAUACAAUAUUUUUAGUUGAUCAAAAAGAAACUUAAAAAACAUGAAGUACAGGUACUCAAAUUACAAUACCGUAUAUUACACAUACAACCUCAUGUUUUCUUAUCCACGUGAUACAUUUGUCAACUUAUUUUACAGAUGAUGUCUUCGUAAAAGUUACUCAUUUUUUAAUUUGCAGAAAAUUGGUUUACAUUUCCUUGCUCUUUUCUGUGUAAGCAAAUCUGAUAAUGUUUUGAGAGUAUGAUACCUCCACUGAAUAACAAUUCCUGCUUUGGCCAACUAAAUACAUGAUUUAGUAAUAUAUGAAAAUCAGAUAACAUAUCUUAUAGAAAACCAUUCAGAUAACAUACGAGUAUAUAUAUAUGUGUGUGUGUAUAUGUGAAGCACAAAUUUGAGAAGCUGGAUCAUCGCAGUUAACAUAAUAAGUUUGUCUAUGUUGGCUGAGCUAUAAUAUGUUUAUUAUAUAUAACUUAUGUUUUAGUUUUACUUGCACAUGAAUCGAUCAAUUUGUACAUAUAUCCUUUUCAUUAUAUUUUGUUAUCAAUUUCCAAGUAGAUGAUUUAAUUUGUUGAUAUAACUAAACGAUUCAUUUCAAUUUUUGCAGUCUUGGGAUGAUAUUGCUAUUGAAUGGAAACGUGUUCAUUCAACAACAAGUCGAGGGUGGAAAAAAGUUAA
Molecule: long non-coding RNA, 6520 nt
Filed under: Panax ginseng (ginseng)
Lineage: Eukaryota; Viridiplantae; Streptophyta; Magnoliopsida; Apiales; Araliaceae
Description: long non-coding RNA (PGIN_LNC015967)
Source: RNAcentral